RNAcentral lists this transfer RNA (71 nucleotides) under Camelus bactrianus (Bactrian camel). It matches the Rfam family "tRNA". From Rfam's summary of the family: Transfer RNA (tRNA) molecules are approximately 80 nucleotides in length. Their secondary structure includes four short double-helical elements and three loops (D, anti-codon, and T loops). RNAcentral also lists the same sequence under 2 other names. The record is from Rfam by way of RNAcentral. Lineage: Eukaryota; Metazoa; Chordata; Mammalia; Artiodactyla; Camelidae.
GAGGGCAUGGCUCAGGGUAGAGUGUGUUCUUAGCAUGCACGAGAUUCUGGGUUCAAACCCUUGUACCUCCA